Molecule: long non-coding RNA, 184 nt
Organism: Chrysemys picta bellii (western painted turtle)
Lineage: Eukaryota; Metazoa; Chordata; Testudines; Emydidae
Source: RefSeq, a predicted model, not a curated record
UCUGCCUUUGCACUAUUUCUAUGUGUUUUCUUCUGGGCCUAUUCAACACUCAUCUGGGUACUGUUUACAAAUCUCCUAAAUUAUUGUGUGACAUCUGCAACAUUUCAUGGCUAUGGUCAGUUGGAAAACUCAACUAAUCACCACAAACUCGCUUUGAAGAAUAAUCCCAAAGUCUAAUUCAAUG